AGAUUGAACGCUGGCGGCAGGCCUAACACAUGCAAGUCGAGCGCGAAAGGUUUUCGGACUGAGUAAAGCGGCGGACGGGUGAGUAACGCGUGGGAAUCUGCCUGGUAGUGGGGGACAACGUUCCGAAAGGAACGCUAAUACCGCAUACGCCCUACGGGGGAAAGGGGGGAUCUUCGGACCUCUCGCUAUCAGAUGACGCCCGACGUCGGAUUAGCUAGUUGGUAGGGUAAAGCCUACAAGGCGACGAUCCGUAACUGGUCUGAGAGGAUGAUCAAGUCACACUGGACUGAGACACGGUCCAGACUCCGUACGGAGCAGCAGGUGGGAAUAUUAGGACUAAGUCGGGGGCAACCCGUGACUCCGAGCAUGCCGUGUG
This 376-nucleotide ribosomal RNA is filed under the name uncultured soil bacterium. RNAcentral describes it as "bacterial SSU rRNA". It matches the Rfam family "Bacterial small subunit ribosomal RNA", at positions 26 to 403 of the family's 1533-position model. The record is from RNAcentral.